AAUAAUAAUAAUUGUUACAGUUAAUUAAUAAAUUCUAUAAUAUGUACUUGGUCAAUAGCUUGUAGUAAAGAGUAUUACUAAUUAGAAAGUUUUAUUGAUGCAAAUUUGACGGGGCUGAGAAAUGUAACCAUAAGGUAGGUAUACAUUUUUAUCUCUUAUAACUCUUACUUAAUAUUGGAGUAUAAAAAUAAAUUUUACUACAAAAUAAUAAUUUAUUACCGUUACUAUUAUUAAGAAUAUCAUUUCUGGGGUUGAAUUCCUGUCUUGGGCAAGUGAUUGUCUAGGAAGAUAUACAUACUUCCCCCACACUAGACAUCGUAGAAACCUAGGGGUGUUAAUUUAAGACUGUGACUAAGUAACCAAACUAAGCUCAAAGUCUACUCUCGGUUAAUAAGCCAUAAAAUAAAAUAAUAAUCAAUAAUUUUUAAUUAAAAUUAUAAAUUGAUGCCGACAGCGACUCAAUCAAGUGCCUUGGUAUGUAAAAAAAUAUAUUUAAUUGGGUACCUAUCUAUUACAUUUUAGGUAUUAGGUAACCUAUCUAUUUACAACUUAAAUCUAAACAAUGUAAUUAAAUAAAAUAAAUUGCACUUUUUUCAACAGACUUUGGUAUUAACAACUAGAGAAU
Non-coding RNA from Cinara cedri, 625 nucleotides. The record is from the annotation of a GenBank genome assembly. NCBI's taxonomy places the organism in Eukaryota, Metazoa, Arthropoda, Insecta, Hemiptera, Aphididae.